This is a long non-coding RNA of Colossoma macropomum (tambaqui), 1032 nucleotides long. RefSeq lists it as uncharacterized. The record is from RefSeq and is a predicted model, not a curated record. The transcript is spliced from 4 exons. NCBI's taxonomy places the organism in Eukaryota, Metazoa, Chordata, Actinopteri, Characiformes, Serrasalmidae.
GUAAGAAUCACGCUCAUGUUUGUGUGAUGUUUAUAUGUAGAUACAGCCGUGUGGUUGGUGAUGCGCAGAGAACCUGCUGAUUUGGGAAGUCAACGCAUGGCAAUGAGCUUGUCUCCACAGUAGAUCAUGUUGACCUACCUGAUCCUUUUGAACGACUGCAAGAAAUUGUUGGGAUGAUUUCUGAGCCAGUUCAGCCCUGUUCAUCUGAGUGGAAUGUAAGGCAGUCUUCCACCAAAGAAAGAUGGUAGGCUGCCAGACCACAGUUGAUCAACAGUGCGUACGCUGCUGAAGACGUAUUAUCAUCCCAUUUCUCCAACAAUCAGGAUUGAGAGGGGCAGUGAUGGAAACUAUAAAAUUACUGAGAGAGGUAAAUAUGCGCCAGCAGGGGCUACAGCUCUAAACAAGUAUUUUUGAAAUUAAGUUUGUGACACCAUUGACAGACUGGAAACUUUAUUCAAGAAAACAUAGGCAUGUUUGUCAUAUGAUCGUGACCAGUGUUGGCUUUCUCAAUUAUGAAGAACAGUGCCUUGAAUUUUUUUUGUAGUUGAGCUGUGUGUUUGCAUAUUUGGUAUAUUUAUAUAUUUGGAAGCAAUUACUAGUUGUGCAAAUAUAUUAUGCAUUCUUAUUCUAUAAGGCCCGAUAAACCUGCUAAUAUGCAUGUGAUCCAACAGCUUGUCUCCUCUCAGUUGUUUUACCAGGGUCAAUCUGCUCAUGUGGAUCAGAUUUGCUCCAAGUGACCCCUGGAAGAUAUGUAAUUCUGAUAAUAAUGAAUGGUAUGUGUGUUGAAUGUGGUAAAUGCUCCUCAUCUAAUGCAGUUGCAUUUCAUUCCUAUAGUAUUCCAGAGGUACCCUCAUUACAUUGCAUUUCAGAACAUUAUGAAGCAAGAAUUAUAUUGUCUUUUUUUUUUAGGCUGUUGUUCCCUCCCUUAGCUGUUCACGUUCUGGUGCCUGCGUUGUGAUCCUUGGUGUCAAGGAUCUGUUGAAGAGUGGUCUGUGGCCAGCAUCCAUGCAGUAUCAAACUGCGUACUCCAGA